Long non-coding RNA from Lagenorhynchus albirostris (white-beaked dolphin), 1261 nucleotides. RefSeq lists it as uncharacterized. The record is from RefSeq and is a predicted model, not a curated record. The transcript has 5 exons. Lineage: Eukaryota; Metazoa; Chordata; Mammalia; Artiodactyla; Delphinidae.
UGUAGUGGAAAGAAUACGAGAUUCUGGAAUUAGAAAAACUGGGCAUGAGUCCCAGACUCUGCACUAUCAGCUGUGUGACCUUGGAUAAAUCAGAGGCUCAGAGAGAUUAAAGAAUAUCUCAAAGGCUGCACAACUAGUAAACAGAAGACCUGGGAUUCAAAACCAGGUGUACAGCCAUUUCUCAGCCAUAAAAAAAGAACAAAAUAACGCCAUUUGCAGCAACAUGGAUGGACCUGGAGAUUAUCAUACUGAGUGAAAGAGUAUCUCCAAUAUGAGAGAUGCUGUGCUAGACAUGACCCGGGCCAUACAUCCUAUGGAGGAGUAUCACUUAAUAUUGUCCAGCAGCUCAAGAACCAGGAGGUUGACUAUCAUUGGUGCAGAGGUUGAAUAAGUCAUGCUUCAAGACACCAUAGCCUGAGGCAGCACCAACACCUGUGAACAAGGUGGAGACCAUCUCUGGAAGCUCUGGGUCUUGCCUCUGGAUGGAGGUUUACAUUGCACUAGAAGCGAAGUGCCCAGGGAAUUGUGUUGGCGUCUCAGAUAAAAACCUGUGGGCUGGGAGCUGUCCUUGAAAAAUGCGAUGCUUUCCUCUUUGAAAAGAACAAAAGAAUAAAGGAUGAAUUUUAAUCUCUAUUUUGCCUUACCUUUGCUGCAGUUUGAAAACCCCAAACCUCUGAAGUGUUAAGUAAAUUAACCCAUGUCUGUGCAGCUUCCAUCAGUGAAUGCGAUAGUUUAAGAAUAGUCAUUCUUUGGCGAACAAACUGCUUUUGUCUGUGCCACUCAGUUUAAGGGAAAACUACUUUUGGACUCCUAUCCAAGCUCUUCCUACUCUAAAUGAUUUCUGCUGUCCCUCUAAUUAUCAGCCAGGAUGCUUAUGUGUAAUCACCAGCUUUCAGUAAUUUAAAUAGGUAGUUUUUCAGCCAACUAUUUUUAUUCAGAAUGGGACAAAAGCUAAAAUUGCAUGUUGAAUUUUAUCCAGAAGCUGUCUUCUUUUAGUUCGUGCCAACUGAUGCAGAGCAAUUGUUCAUUUUCUUAUGACAUGUCAGAAGCACAUUUUUACUUUAUGAAUCUAACCAACAAUCCAAUGCGAAGUCUACAAUUUAUGUCUCAGUUCAGUUGCUUACCAGAACCAGCAGGCAGGGCAUUUUAAGAUUUAAUUCAGCGUACCGAAUCGUCAAACGUAACCACACCCAAGCUCUGUUAUUUUUCAGAGACUUUAAAUGUUAGCUUUUCACUGUCCAUUUGAAUUUCAACGAGGAUC